UGUGUAGGAUAGGUGGGAGAUGUUGAAGCCUGGUCGCCAGAUCGGGUGGAGUCGGCAAGUGAAAUACCACUCUGACCAUUCUGGAUUCCUUAACUUCGGACCCUGAUCGGGUUCAGGGACAGUGCCUGAUGGGUAGUUUAACUGGGGCGGUUGCCUCCUAAAGAGUAACGGAGGCGCCCAAAGGUUCCCUCAGCCUGGUUGGCAAUCAGGUGUCGAGUGUAAGUGCACAAGGGAGCUUGACUGUGAGACGGACGUGUCGAGCAGGAGCGAAAGCUGGGACUAGUGACCCGGCCAUGGCUUGUGGAAGCGUGGUCGCUCAACGGAUAAAAGGUACCUCGGGGAUAACAGGCUGAUCUUGCCCAAGAGUCCAUAUCGACGGCAUGGUUUGGCACCUCGAUGUCGGCUCGUCGCAUCCUGGGGCUGGAGUCGGUCCCAAGGGUUGGGCUGUUCGCCCAUUAAAGCGGUACGCGAGCUGGGUUUAGAACGUCGUGAGACAGUUCGGUCCCUAUCCGCUGCGUGCGUAGGAAAUUUGUGGAGGGCUGUCCUUAGUACGAGAGGGGCGGGACGGACGACCCUCUGGUGUGCCAGUUGUACCGCCAGGUGCAUGGCUGGUUGGCUACGUUCGGGAAGGAUAACCGCUGAAAGCAUCU
This 650-nucleotide ribosomal RNA is filed under the name Burkholderia multivorans. RNAcentral's name for it is "bacterial LSU rRNA". It matches the Rfam family "Bacterial large subunit ribosomal RNA", at positions 2135 to 2782 of the family's 2925-position model. The record is from RNAcentral. Lineage: Bacteria; Pseudomonadati; Pseudomonadota; Betaproteobacteria; Burkholderiales; Burkholderiaceae.